CCUACGGGUGGCUGCAGUGGGGAAUAUUGCACGAUGGGCGCAAGCCUGAUGCAGCCAUGCCGCGUGUGUGAAGAAGGCCUUCGGGUUGUAAAGCACUUUCAGCGGGGAGGAAGGCGGUGAGGUUAAUAACCUCAUCGAUUGACGUUACCCGCAGAAGAAGCACCGGCUAACUCCGUGCCAGCAGCCGCGGUAAUACGGAGGGUGCAAGCGUUAAUCGGAAUUACUGGGCGUAAAGCGCACGCAGGCGGUCUGUCAAGUCGGAUGUGAAAUCCCCGGGCUCAACCUGGGGACUGCAUUCGAAACUGGCAGGCUAGAGUCUUGUAGAGGGGGGUAGAAUUCCAGGUGUAGCGGUGAAAUGCGUAGAGAUCUGGAGGAAUACCGGUGGCGAAGGCGGCCCCCUGGACAAAGACUGACGCUCAGGUGCGAAAGCGUGGGGAGCAAACAGGAUUAGAUACCCCGGUAGUC
RNAcentral lists this ribosomal RNA (465 nucleotides) under uncultured Klebsiella sp. RNAcentral describes it as "bacterial SSU rRNA". It matches the Rfam family "Bacterial small subunit ribosomal RNA", at positions 338 to 795 of the family's 1533-position model. Lineage: Bacteria; Pseudomonadati; Pseudomonadota; Gammaproteobacteria; Enterobacterales; Enterobacteriaceae. The record is from RNAcentral.